UAAGGCGGCCAUAGCGGUGGGGUUACUCCCGUACCCAUCCCGAACACGGAAGAUAAGCCCGCCUGCGUUCCGGUCAGUACUGGAGUGCGCGAGCCUCUGGGAAAUCCGGUUCGCCGCCUA
RNAcentral lists this ribosomal RNA (120 nucleotides) under Halobacterium salinarum R1. The record is from RNAcentral. Lineage: Archaea; Methanobacteriati; Methanobacteriota; Halobacteria; Halobacteriales; Halobacteriaceae.